Molecule: ribosomal RNA, 465 nt
Filed under: uncultured bacterium
Lineage: Bacteria
Description: partial 16S ribosomal RNA
Rfam family: Bacterial small subunit ribosomal RNA
Source: RNAcentral
GACGAACGCUGGCGGCGUGCUUAACACAUGCAAGUCGAACGGAAAGGCCCCUUUGGGGGUACUCGAGUGGCGAACGGGAGAGUAACACGUGAGUAACCUGCCCUUGACUUCGGGAUAACUUCAGGAAACUGGGGCUAAUACCGGAUAGGAAUCCUUGCUGCAUGGUGGGGGUUGGAAAGCUUCGGCGGUUUUGGAUGGACUCGCGGCUUAUCAGCUUGUUGGUGGGGUAGUGGCUUACCAAGGCUUUGACGGGUAGCCGGCCUGAGAGGGCGACCGGCCACAUUGGGACUGAGAUACGGCCCAGACUCCUACGGGAGGCAGCAGUGGGGAAUAUUGCACAAUGGGCGGAAGCCUGAUGCAGCAACGCCGCGUGCGGGAUGACGGCCUUCGGGUUGUAAACCGCUUUCAGCAGGGGCGAAGCUUGUGGUGACGGUACCUGCAGAAGAAGCACCGGCUAACUACGUG